RNAcentral lists this ribosomal RNA (217 nucleotides) under Escherichia coli. RNAcentral's name for it is "partial 23S ribosomal RNA". It matches the Rfam family "Bacterial large subunit ribosomal RNA", at positions 2696 to 2907 of the family's 2925-position model. The record is from RNAcentral. Lineage: Bacteria; Pseudomonadati; Pseudomonadota; Gammaproteobacteria; Enterobacterales; Enterobacteriaceae.
AGUGGACGCAUCACUGGUGUUCGGGUUGUCAUGCCAAUGGCACUGCCCGGUAGCUAAAUGCGGAAGAGAUAAGUGCUGAAAGCAUCUAAGCACGAAACUUGCCCCGAGAUGAGUUCUCCCUGACUCCCUGAGAGUCCUGAAGGAACGUUGAAGACGACGACGUUGAUAGGCCGGGUGUGUAAGCGCAGCGAUGCGUUGAGCUAACCGGUACUAAUGA